This is a long non-coding RNA of Syngnathoides biaculeatus (alligator pipefish), 302 nucleotides long. RefSeq lists it as uncharacterized. NCBI's taxonomy places the organism in Eukaryota, Metazoa, Chordata, Actinopteri, Syngnathiformes, Syngnathidae. The transcript has 3 exons. The record is from RefSeq and is a predicted model, not a curated record.
GUCAUUGCAAGGUCAGCGGCGGGAUAAACGCUGGACUGCAGGCCGGUUCUGCUUUUCCUCGCCACCGCCGCCUCGUCUCGCAGAUUCUGGUGGGAACAGGCCAGCGUCUUCAACGCACAUUAAGACGGACCACAAGUCAAUGUUCAUAAGAACGUGGCGUACCUUGUUUGGCCAUACCGGGGAUGUCCUCGAAGGUCAGCGUCCGCAAAGACGGCCGCCAGAAGGCGUACGACUCCACCAGGGCCUCCAGGCCCAUCCUGCAAACGCAAAUCGGGUUAGCCACCUUGUAAAGCCAGCGCCAG